UAGGGGCGUAGUUCAAUUGGUAGAGCACCGGUCUCCAAAACCGGAUGUUGGGAGUUCGAUUCUCUCCGCCCCUGUCCA
This 78-nucleotide transfer RNA is filed under the name Candidatus Gullanella endobia. RNAcentral describes it as "tRNA-Trp". It matches the Rfam family "tRNA". From Rfam's summary of the family: Transfer RNA (tRNA) molecules are approximately 80 nucleotides in length. Their secondary structure includes four short double-helical elements and three loops (D, anti-codon, and T loops). The record is from RNAcentral. Lineage: Bacteria; Pseudomonadati; Pseudomonadota; Gammaproteobacteria; Enterobacterales; Enterobacteriaceae.